GAUGAACGCUGGCGGCGUGCCUAACACAUGCAAGUCGAACGCUGAAGGAGGGAUCUUGCUCGUUCCCGACGAGUUGCGAACGGGUGAGUAACGCGUAGGUACCCUGCCUGGUAGCGGGGGAUAACUAUUGGGACCCAUAUCUAACACCGCAUAACAGUGGGUGUUGCAUGAUACCUACUUAAAAGGUCCAACUGCUCCACUACCAGCUGGACCUGCGUUUUGUUUGCUAGUUGGUUAGGUAACGGCCCACCCAGGCGACGUUACAUAGCCGACCUGAGAGGGUGAGCGACCACACUGGGACCGAGACCCCGCCCAGACACCUACGGGAGGCAGCAAGAGGGCAACAUCGGCAAUGGGACGAAGUCUGACCGCACCAAGCCGGCGGGGUGGAGAACGGUCUCGGCUCGUUAAGCUCUGUUGUCAGGGAAGAAAGAGCGUGAGGGUGGUACGUUCACGCUGUGACGUUACCAUCACAGUAAGCGCCGGCUAACUACGUG
This 497-nucleotide ribosomal RNA is filed under the name uncultured bacterium. Its description in RNAcentral is "partial 16S ribosomal RNA". It matches the Rfam family "Bacterial small subunit ribosomal RNA", at positions 28 to 507 of the family's 1533-position model. The record is from RNAcentral.